This is a long non-coding RNA of Oncorhynchus tshawytscha (Chinook salmon), 1997 nucleotides long. NCBI's taxonomy places the organism in Eukaryota, Metazoa, Chordata, Actinopteri, Salmoniformes, Salmonidae. The record is from Ensembl.
AGAGAGAGAGACAGAGAGAGAGACAGAGAGAGAGACAGAGAGAGAGACAGAGAGAGAGACAGAGAGAGAGACAGAGAGAGAGACAGAGAGAGAGACAGAGAGAGAGUCAGAGAGAGAACACAAUACCUUCCAGUGUGCAGGCUACCCUGUCUUCCAGUGUGCAGGCUACCCUGUCUUCCAGUGUGUAGGCUACACUGUCUUCCAGUAUGUAAGGCUACCCUGUCUUCCAGUGUGCACGCUACCCUGUCUUCCAGUGUGCAGGCUACCCUGUCUUCCAGUGUGCAGGCUACUCUGUCUUCCAGUGUGCAGGCUACCCUGUCUUCCAGUGUGCAGGCUACUCUGUCUUCCAGUGUGCAGGCUACCCUGUCUUCCAGUGUGCAGGCUACCCUGUCUUCCAGUGUGUAGGCUACCCUGUCUUCCAGUAUGUAAGGCUACCCUGUCUUCCAGUGUGCAGGCUACUCUGUCUUCCAGUGUGCAGGCUACCCUGUCUUGCAGUGUGCAGGCUACCCUGUCUUCCAGUGUGCAGGCUACCCUGUCUUCCAGUGUGCAGGCUACCCUGUCUUCCAGUGUGCAGGCUACCCUGUCUUCCAGAAUAAACUCUUCAUUCACUGAGUGUGACUGGUUUAUUCCUGUCCUGUCUACUAACACUGUGUUAGACAGGCAGCCCAAUUCUGAUUUUUUUUUUUGUUCACUAAUUGGUCUUUUGGCCAAUCAGAUCAGUUCUGAAAAUGAUCUGAUGUGAAAAGAUCUGAUGUGAUUGGUCAAAAGACCAAUUAGUAGAACAAAGAUCAGAAUUGGUCUGCCUGUGUGAGAGCAUCCAAUAACCAUUAGGUAUUCAAUCAAAAUCUGAGCGUUGAUGUCACAAUGGCAAAAAAAUAUGUAGAUAUUCUGUUUAUAUGGCAGAGACACAGGUUGUUUCCGACUAUAGACUACUAUAGACUACUAUAUACUACUAUAUACUACUAUAGACUACUAUAGACUACUAUAUACUACUACAGACUACUAUAGACUACUAUAUACUACUAUAUACUACUAUAGACUACUAUAGACUGCUAUAUAUAUAGACUACUAGACUACUAUAGACUACUAUAGACUACUAUAGGCUACUAUAGACUACUAUAGACUACUAUAGGCUACUAUAGACUACUAUAGACUACUAUAGACUACUAUAGGCUACUAUAGACUACUAUAGACUACUAUAUACUACUAUAGACUACUAUAGACUACUAUAGGCUACUAUAUACUACUAUAGACUACUAUAGACUACUAUAGGCUACUAUAUACUACUAUAGACUACUAUAGACUACUAUAGGCUACUAUAUACUACUAUAGACUACUAUAGACUACUAUAGGCUACUAUAGACUACUAUAUACUACUAUAGACUACUAUAGGCUACUAUAGACUACUAUAAACUACUAUAGACUACUAUAGGCUACUAUAGACCACUAUAGACUACUAUAUACUACUAUAGACUACUAUAGACUACUAUAGACUACUAUAGAAUACUAGAGACUACUAUAGACUACUAUAGACUACUAUAGACUACUAUAGACUACUAUAGACUACUAUAGACUACUAUAGACUACUAUAGACUACUACAGACUACUAUAGACUACUAUAGACUACUAUAGACUACUACAGACUACUAUAGACUACUACAGACUACUACAGACUACUACAGACUACUAUAGACUACUAUAGACUACUAUAGACUACUAUAGACUACUAUAGACUACUACAGACUACUAUAGACUAUUACAGACUACUAUAGACUACUAUAGACUACUACAGACUACUAUAGACUACUAUAGACUACUACAGACUACUAUAGACUACUACAGACUACUAUAGACUACUACAGACUACUACAGACUACUAUAGACUACUACAGACUACUAUAGACUACUACAGACUACUAUAGACUACUACAGACUACUACUGACUACUAUAGGCUACUAUAUAUAUAAAGCUUCUGUUUAUAUGGCAGAGACACGGG